Long non-coding RNA from Zootoca vivipara (common lizard), 367 nucleotides. RefSeq lists it as uncharacterized. The record is from RefSeq and is a predicted model, not a curated record. NCBI's taxonomy places the organism in Eukaryota, Metazoa, Chordata, Lepidosauria, Squamata, Lacertidae.
UACCAGAUGCAAAUCAGAAUACAGGCAGUCUGAACAAAAGUGGUGCUUGCGAGCAACCUCUAGGAUCAGCACUGAUGUUGCACAAAACGCCAACAUUCACUACAGAAAAGUCUCUACCAUUAUCGCAGGAAUGCAGAAGUCCAUCAUCCCAUGUCGCUGAUUAAAGGAGACUGGCAUCCAGACUGAACUUCACCUUUGAUGAGAACUGAAUUUGUAUGCAGAUUUGCUCCCUCCCCACAGCCCAGAAUAACCAGCACUGCAUGUUCUGCUGGAUAAUAAGCAGAGGUAUGAGAAUACUUUAAGUUCUUAUUGCAUUAAAAGUUUUAAGACUGGAUCAGCUCAACUGUACUGAAUACUGACAGCAUUA